Molecule: long non-coding RNA, 655 nt
Filed under: Marmota monax (woodchuck)
Lineage: Eukaryota; Metazoa; Chordata; Mammalia; Rodentia; Sciuridae
Source: RNAcentral
GUCCAUCAAAGCAUCAGAAGGAAAAAAAGAAAAUGGAGCCAUUACGAGGAUGCACUUCUGAAAUUUUAGCAAAACUCUGGCUUAAAAUGUAAAAACUAAUUAUUCAAUGAUUGUUAGAAUUAAAGAAUGCACCGAACUUGGACAGGUUGGAGCUCAGUGGCUUUGGCCUUGACCCUUCCUGUCCACCUUCUGUUAGAGGCAUUGCUGUCUCAGGGAGGGGCAGACAAAAUGCAGAGACCAGAACACUGCAUACCCUCGUCUACCCUGUUCUCCAGACACGAGUCAGCAGGGCCAUCUUUAUGCUCAAAGGGCCUGAAACCCUCCACAUCUCACAUCUCCAUCAGAGAAGCAGCCAAAGGCCAGAGAGUUCUUUUCCCCAGAGGGAAGCAAGAAGAGGAAUGAAAAACCAGACUGUGUUUGAUCUGCCCCUCAUGGCAAGCCAGAGUCCAGCACAGAUAAGAUGAACAUGACUUUCCAGUUUUAACAAUUUCACUUAAGAUCCAUUCACCCCCAGGCUUUGGCAAGUGCCUUCCUCCCUGCCCAGAAGGCCUCUCACCUUCACCUGCUUGCACCUGCCUCCACUCACAUUUAUCUGACCAAUUCCAGCCUGUCUUUCAAGUUUCUGAAAGCUUAGAGACCAGCCAGCAUCCUUGAC